This 541-nucleotide long non-coding RNA is filed under the name Canis lupus familiaris (dog). RNAcentral describes it as "lncRNA (ENSCAFG00000050863.1)". The record is from RNAcentral. Lineage: Eukaryota; Metazoa; Chordata; Mammalia; Carnivora; Canidae.
CAAUUCUCAGAAUGAUGAAAAUUUCAAGUGCCACUCCGCAAAUGAAGAACAAGAGUUUCCUAGACAGGAAAGGGUGAGCUGGUCUCCUGAGGUGGCUGUCACUGAACACUGAGCAAAAUGGCCCCACUCCAUCUCUAGAGGGCCAUGCUCUCCCAGAGGACACAGUACUCACUGGGCACGGGAGUGGCUUUACCUCUUCGUGGAGCAUCUCCUGAUUCUGCAUAAACUCAGCCCCUGGGAACCACAGCAAGACCAACCUGGAGAGCAGCUGGGACUAUAGAAAAUCAGUCUGCAGAAAAAGGGGUUCAAAGCAAGAGUUCUCAAACUGGUUUCGCUGCCACUUACUAACCAGGUGACCCUGGCCGAGAUCCUCACCUCUCUAAUCUCAGUGACCUCUUCUGCAAAAUGAACUGCUGGGAGGAAUAAAUGAGACACUGCAUGAAACACGCUUGGCACACACAAAGAGUGACUUGCAGAGCAACUAUGCUUGCAGAACACCCCCAACUAGAGGAACAAUGUGGUGACCUCCCCACAAAGUUUG